Molecule: ribosomal RNA, 513 nt
Filed under: Triticum aestivum (bread wheat)
Lineage: Eukaryota; Viridiplantae; Streptophyta; Magnoliopsida; Poales; Poaceae
Description: partial small subunit ribosomal RNA
Source: RNAcentral
CAGGAACGUGCAAAGGUGCGCCGCUUGAGCAAAGGCGAAGUUGGCAUGAUAAUUAGCUUGGCAAAUGAAAUAUUUAGCAUCAAGGAAGUGCUCCGUUCUUCCGUUCCAUGUCCCCAUUGUGGUAUCGCCAUUACACGUGUGUCUGGCUGUAACCACAUGCUUUGCAGGAAAUGUGGUAAACAGUUUGACUAUGACCUUGCUGGAAGAAAUAAUGUCAGGGCUGUUGAUUUUAUUAAAGAUGUCGAGAUACAGAAAGAAGCAAGAGUGAGACUGUCCGCCAGCUUCAAACAACAUCCGUGCCCGAAAUGCCACCAGCCACAUCACAAGAUGGGGAACAACAACCACAUCCUGUGCUUGGCAUGCCAAGUUCAUUACUGUGCUCUUUGUCGGAAGGUGGUGCGGAAGAGCUCAGAGCACUAUGGCCCCAGAGGGUGCAAACAGCACACUGUCGACCCCGUGGUCGCUCAGACUAGAACAAAGAAAAAUGAUGACUCUGGAUCAGAACUUGUGUGA